Molecule: ribosomal RNA, 498 nt
Filed under: uncultured Chloroflexota bacterium
Lineage: Bacteria; Bacillati; Chloroflexota
Description: bacterial SSU rRNA
Rfam family: Bacterial small subunit ribosomal RNA
Source: RNAcentral
CAGGGAGUUUUGCGCAAUGGGCGAAAGCCUGACGCAGCAACACCGCGUGAGGGAAGAAGGCCUUCGGGUUGUAAACCUCUUUUCUCAGGGAAGAAUAAUGACGGUACCUGAGGAAUAAGUCACGGCUAACUACGUGCCAGCAGCUGCGGUAAUACGUAGGUGGCAAGCGUUAUCCGGAUUCACUGGGCGUAAAGAGCGCGUAGGUGGUCCUUCAAGUCAGAUGUUAAAUCUCUCGGCUUAACUGGGAGUUGUCAUCUGAUACUGCUGGACUUGAGGGCGGUAGAGGGAGGUGGAAUUCCCGGUGUAGUGGUGAAAUGCGUAGAUAUCGGGAGGAACACCAGUGGCGAAAGCGGCCUCCUAGGCCGUUCCUGACACUGAGGCGCGAAAGCGUGGGGAGCGAACAGGAUCAGAUACCCUGGUAGUCCUAGCCGUAAACGAUGUCGACUGGGCGGCGGUGGGGUAAAAGCCAUCGGUGCCGCAGCUAACGCGCUAAGUCGA